Small nuclear RNA from Cavia aperea (Brazilian guinea pig), 173 nucleotides. Its record names the gene U4. It matches the Rfam family "U4 spliceosomal RNA". From Rfam's summary of the family: U4 small nuclear RNA (U4 snRNA) is a component of the major U2-dependent spliceosome. NCBI's taxonomy places the organism in Eukaryota, Metazoa, Chordata, Mammalia, Rodentia, Caviidae. The record is from Ensembl.
ACUUCUGCAUGGUGGCAGUGUAGUAGCUAAUGGUGUUUAUCAGAAGCACUAUUACUGCUAAUUGAAAAUUACAGUGACGUGAGUCCUUUCCAUGUCCUUCUGUCCCAGUCUUGCACCACUAGGCUGACUUACCUUCGAAAUUACAUGGAGAGCUUUGCCUCCAAGUGCAAAGC